Drosophila ficusphila is the source of this 142-nucleotide non-coding RNA. The record is from Rfam. NCBI's taxonomy places the organism in Eukaryota, Metazoa, Arthropoda, Insecta, Diptera, Drosophilidae.
GGCAAAUGCACUCUGUGUCACAUUAAAUAUAUCCUCGUGUGAUGACAAUUUGUUAGUUUGCCAGAUUAAGGGGGUGCGUCUUAUCCAUGUGGUCAAGUUUCCAUCAAGCUGUUCACAUUGAAAACGCACCUGACAGGAUUAU